UUCAGUGGAAUUACAGUGGCCGGUGGGACCCUGGAUUUCAGGCUGGGGAGGCAGGGAAGGGGCCCAGUGUUCCCAGGACUGUCUACCGUGUGGCCGGUGUUUUUAUUCAGCCCCUUGUCUGUCAAAACUGUCCUGAAUGGGGUGACAAAGUGCAGCGGGAAGUUGAGAAAUGCCUCAAAAGACCAAGCCUGGGGCAACUAUGUCUCCAGGAGCAGUGACCCAGCUCCUUUGGGCUGGAAACCAGCGUUUCCCGGUGGGGCUGGAGGCUGUCUGAGGACCACGUGGCUGCUCCCAGCCUUGCCGCAGUUCCAGUCCCAGAGGGAGUGGCUUUCAGCGGCUGAGGCCUCCACCGCGCUGGCAGAAAGGGACAGCAGUGGCUGGUUCCAACAUGGGUAGUUCUCUUGUUGCAGCCAGUGGGAUGGGGGCCGGGCCUCAUCUGGGGCAGGAGAAGAGUCCAGGGAUUCACUGGUGCCCAGCACCUAAGAACCUGGAGAAAACACCGCAGCAGCACUCCUGGCCAGCCAAGGGCAACACUGACAGCCUCUCCCAGGGUUGCGGGGCCGGCAGGGGGUGACAGAGACACGCUCCUGUGGGCAGCUCUUCCCGGCCAGUGCUGCGACCCCGCAGCUGCGGCAGGGCUGGGUGGCCACUCUUGCAUCAUCAGCAGCCGGCUGUGGAGGAGGGAGAGCACAGCCCGGGAUGUGAGCAGGCGUCGGUCAGGGGAAUGAGGAAGUCCCACAAGAACCGGUUCCCCCAGCUGCUGUGCUGGUGGGAGGGUCACUGGCCAACCUGCUCUCACCCAGCUUGGGCUGGCCAUAGUGCCAGGCAGUUGCCCUCAGCUCCUCCGCCCAUUCCAGCCAUGGAGGUGGCUGCCCUUGCAGGCUCCAGGGUGUGGUGGGAGUGUCCAGGAGGCAGAGGCCAGAGGGGGUCAUGCUGUGGGGGGAGUUCCUCUCUCAGACCCCAUCUGUGCCUCUCCCGCUGCAUAUCUGGGUGACAUGGGUGCCAACAGGCAGGAGGAAGGGCUGGGAAAGGCUGUGGAGGGGCCCUCGGCUGGUCUGGUAGGGAGUGGGUCACUGUGUCUCUGCUGCCUCCCUGAGGGAUCCAGCGUGGGGAUGGGACAUGGAGCUGGGCACCUCUCCUGGAUGCCCCUGGGCUGAUCCCCCUCGACGCCCUGACAAGAGCCCUGGCCCAGCGUCUGAGAAGGAGCGGGAGCCGGGCCCGGGUGGGGGCAGGAGCCGGCAUCACUCUCAGCACUGCCCCACACUCCCCAGCCUGCCUGCUGAGGCCAUGUCGGACUACGAGAACGAUGACGAGUGCUGGAGCAUCCUGGAGGGCUUCCGGGUGACGCUUACCUCGGUCAUCGACCCCUCGCGCAUCACGCCCUACCUGCGGCAGUGCAAGGUCCUGAACCCUGAUGAUGAGGAGCAGGUGCUCAGUGACCCCAACCUGGUCAUCCGCAAACGGAAAGUGGGGGUGCUCCUGGACAUCCUGCAGCGGACCGGCCACAAGGGCUACGUGGCCUUCCUCGAGAGCCUGGAGCUCUACUACCCGCAGCUGUACAAGAAAGUCACGGGCAAGGAGCCAGCCCGCGUCUUCUCCAUGAUCAUCGACGCGUCCGGGGAGUCAGGCCUGACUCAGCUGCUGAUGACUGAGGUCAUGAAGCUGCAGAAGAAGGUGCACGACCUGACGGCGCUGCUGAGCUCCAAGGAUGACUUCAUCAAGGAGCUGCGGGUGAAGGACAGCCUGCUGCGCAAGCACCAGGAGCGCGUGCAGAGGCUCAAGGAGGAGUGCGAGGCUGGCAGCCGCGAGCUCAAGCGCUGCAAGGAGGAGAACUACGACCUGGCCAUGCGCCUGGCGCACCAGAGUGAGGAGAAAGGCGCCGCGCUCAUGCGGAACCGCGACCUGCAGCUGGAGAUUGACCGACUCAAGCACAGCCUCAUGAAGGCAGAGGACGACUGCAAGGUGGAGCGCAAGCACACGCUGAAGCUCAGGCACGCCAUGGAGCAGCAGCCCAGCCAGGAGCUGCUGUGGGAGCUGCAGCGGGAGAAGGCUCUGCUCCAGGCCCGGGUGCAGGAGCUGGAGGCCUCCGUCCAGGAGAGGAAGCUGGACAGGAGCAGCCCCUACAUCCAGGUACUGGAGGAGGACUGGCGGCAGGCGCUGCGGGACCACCAGGAGCAGGCCAACACCAUCUUUUCCCUGCGCAAGGACCUCCGCCAGGGCGAGGCCCGACGCCUCCGGUGCAUGGAGGAGAAGGAGAUGUUCGAGCUGCAGUGCCUGGCCCUGCGUAAGGACUCCAAGAUGUACAAGGACCGCAUCGAGGCCAUCCUGCUGCAGAUGGAGGAGGUCGCCAUUGAGCGGGACCAGGCCAUCGCCACACGGGAGGAGCUGCACGCGCAGCACGCCCGGGGCCUGCAGGAGAAGGACAUGCUGCGCAAGCAGGUGCGGGAGCUGGGCGAGAAGGCGGAUGAGCUGCAGCUGCAGGUGUUCCAGUGUGAGGCGCAGCUACUGGCCGUGGAGGGCAGGCUCAGGCGGCAGCAGCUGGAGACGCUCGUCCUGAGCUCCGACCUGGAGGAUGGCUCACCCAGGAGCUCCCAGGAGCUCUCACUCCCCCAGGACCUGGAGGACACCCAGCUCUCAGACAAAGGUGAGGUGGGGACAGCAGUGCACCCAGAGGCCUCCCGGCGGCCCCAAGAGAGGCCCAUCUUCAGCACAGGCAGCCUGUGCCGCAAUGCCUGUGUCAACCCCCACAACCCCGACUCCACAGACAGGGAAACUGGGGCUGGGGAUAAGUAUAAUGGUCAAGGUCACCCAGAGAACAAACUACAGAGCCCAGCUGGAACCCGGGGCCCCAGCUAGUGGGACAAGUGUCCCCUGGGGUGGAGAGUGUGGGGGUCUGGGCAGCCCCCAUGGGGUGCAGAGGUGAGCAGGCCCACCGUCCCGAGAGCGUGGGGCCCCUCUGGGCAGUCCCCACGGGGUGCAGAGGUGAGCAGGCCCACCGUCCCGAGAGCGUGGGGCCCCUCUGGGCAGUCCCCACGGGGUGCAGAGGUGAGCAGGCCCACCGUCCCGAGAGCGUGGGGCCCCUCUGGGCAGUCCCCACGGGGUGCAGAGGUGAGCAGGCCCACCGUCCCGAGAGUGUGGGGCCCCUCUGGGCAGCCCCCACGGGGUGCACAGGUGAGCAGGCCCACUGUCCCAGCUGCUCCAAGCUUCCUCCUGGGCAGAGGGAGGUGGUAACGAGCAAACACCCAGGUGCACGAAGCUAGAAAGUGGGGCGAGACGGGGCCCCACGUGGCUUGAGGGACAGGGCCAAAUGCAGGGGUGGCCAAGGGCCUGCUGUGUCCCGGUGCAGUGGGGGUAAGGCAGUGGCAGGGGCUUCUAGCGGGCAGGGCAGGCCCCCUCUGCCUGUCUGGGGAAGGACUGGGUGGCUGGCUGGGAGCAGCCCCCGAGUGCCCAGGAGCGGGCAAUGGUGAUGGGGUAGGUGUUUGCUCUGAAGGUGGUGUCAGGUAGGGGUUGGGGAGGGCCCAGCAGAGGGGUCCUGGGAGGCUGCAUCAGAGUUGGACAAGCUUCCUGAGUACCAGGCGUGGCCUCCAAGCAGAGGCGGAAGGGGAAGGAGGAGCCGCAGAUGGGGAAGUGAAGACCAGCGCCUUUGGCUGCAGCCCAGAACACUUGAACAUGGGGAUGCCAAGCCCCCAUGUAGGCACAGAGGCAAGCAGGACCCAGGAGUCCAGCUCAGGCACUGCCCCCAUCCCCUGGGUGGCUGUGGCAGGAGCAGGGGCAGGUGUGAAGGUUGGAGGGUGAGCAGGGGAGGGGCUGGCUCUAAGAAGGGGCUGCCAAUGGCCAGGACAGUCCUGGCCUGGCCCUCCCCGCAGUGGGGCUGAGACUGGACGUGCAUGGUUUCUUCCCAAGGGUCCUGAUCCCUGGUCUGCCCAGGUCCUGGCGGUUUCUGAGGGGGUUCAGCCGCCUGAAGGUUCUCUCCCAAUUGCUGCAGUACCCCUGCCCCCACAUCAGGAGGACCCAGACAACCACUGUAGCUGUCCCCAACUCUCUCCCCAGGGCCGCGAUGCCCACAGAUGCUUUGGAGUGAUGGGGGACGGUGCUGCUCAGGCCCAGGGUUUAAGCUCCCCUGAGGUCUGGGAGGCCUUCCUGCCUGGCGGGCAGCCAGCUCGGGGGAGGGAUGGUCCCUGGCAGGAGCAUUGGGCCUGGGCUGGCAUCUGGCGGCCUCCUGGAGCAAUGAACAGGCAAGCGAGGCCAUAAGGCCUCAGUCUCAUCUACAGAAGGCAGAGUCUACACUGGACCCAUGUGGGGAUCCCACCAGGCCUUGGAAGACAGCCCCACACGGUGUCCGCAAUGCCGGGGAGGGGUGGGGCAGCCGUGCUGUACGUGGCCCCGCAGGUGGGCAGGUCCCACAGGACGCAGGCCUGAGCAGCGGGGAGCCGCCCGAGAAGGAGCGGCGGCGCCUCAAAGAGAGUUUUGAGAACUACCGCAGGAAGCGAGCUCUCAGGAAGAUGCAG
Molecule: RNA transcript, 4508 nt
Organism: Pongo pygmaeus (Bornean orangutan)
Lineage: Eukaryota; Metazoa; Chordata; Mammalia; Primates; Hominidae
Gene: CARD9
Gene name: caspase recruitment domain family member 9
Exons: 11
Source: RefSeq, a predicted model, not a curated record